UGCCAGCAGCCGCGGUAAGACGGAGGUCCCUAGCGUUGUUCGGAAUUACUGGGCUUAAAGCGCGUGUAGGCGGAAGGGCAAGUACCUUGUGAAAUCCCCGGGCUCAACCCGGGAAUAGCUGGGUAUACUGCCUUUCUUGAGGCAGGUAGGGGUCACUGGAACCUUAGGUGGAGCGGUGAAAUGCGUAGAUAUCUAAGGGAACGCCUGUGGCGAAAGCGGGUGACUGGGCCUGUCCUGACGCUGAGACGCGAAAGCGUAGGGAGCAAACGGGAUUAGAUACCCCGGUAGUCUACGCCGUAAACGAUGCGCACUAGGUUCGAGGGUCCCUGACGACUCUCGAGCCGAAAUAAAAACGAUAAGUGCGCCGCCUGGGGAGUACGGCCGCAAGGCUAAAACUCAAAGGAAUUGACGGGGGCCCGCACAAGG
RNAcentral lists this ribosomal RNA (426 nucleotides) under uncultured bacterium. RNAcentral describes it as "bacterial SSU rRNA". It matches the Rfam family "Bacterial small subunit ribosomal RNA", at positions 506 to 930 of the family's 1533-position model. The record is from RNAcentral.